AGUGAACGCUGGCGGUAGGCCUGACACAUGCAAGUCGAACGGCAGCACAGUAAGAGCUUGCUCUUACGGGUGGCGAGUGGCGGACGGGUGAGGAAUACAUCGGAAUCUACUUUUUCGUGGGGGAUAACGUAGGGAAACUUACGCUAAUACCGCAUACGACCUACGGGUGAAAGCAGGGGAUCUUCGGACCUUGCGCGAUUGAAUGAGCCGAUGUCGGAUUAGCUAGUUGGCGGGGUAAAGGCCCACCAAGGCGACGAUCCGUAGCUGGUCUGAGAGGAUGAUCAGCCACACUGGAACUGAGACACGGUCCAGACUCCUACGGGAGGCAGCAGUGGGGAAUAUUGGACAAUGGGCGCAAGCCUGAUCCAGCCAUACCGCGUGGGUGAAGAAGGCCUUCGGGUUGUAAAGCCCUUUUGUUGGGAAAGAAAAGCAGCAGGUUAAUACCCCACUGUUCUGACGGUACCCAAAGAAUAAGCACCGGCUAACUUCGUG
Molecule: ribosomal RNA, 492 nt
Filed under: uncultured bacterium
Lineage: Bacteria
Description: partial 16S ribosomal RNA
Rfam family: Bacterial small subunit ribosomal RNA
Source: RNAcentral